GAAUUAUAAAGAGGAGUUGAGAGACGGGCUCUGUGAAACUCCGACAACCUCAGUGAUACUGAAAGGUGCCAAAACCCGUCCUGAAAAAAUCAGGAAUUAUAAUUU
RNAcentral lists this non-coding RNA (105 nucleotides) under Odoribacter laneus. Its description in RNAcentral is "SAM-I sequence". It matches the Rfam family "SAM riboswitch aptamer (S box leader)". From Rfam's summary of the family: The SAM riboswitch is found upstream of a number of genes which code for proteins involved in methionine or cysteine biosynthesis in Gram-positive bacteria. The SAM riboswitch acts at the level of transcription termination control. The record is from RNAcentral. Lineage: Bacteria; Pseudomonadati; Bacteroidota; Bacteroidia; Bacteroidales; Odoribacteraceae. RNAcentral also lists the same sequence under 1 other name.